AAAGUCGUAACAAGGUUUCCGUAGGUGAACCUGCGGAAGGAUCAUUAUUGAAUAAAUUUAGGGUUGGCAGUUGCUGGCUCUUCUCUCCAUUCAUUUGGGGGGGAGCGCAAUAUGUGCACGCCUUUCUCUAUUUUUUUCAUCCACACACACCUGUGCACUUGUGAGAUGGAGGGGGCAGAUUUUAUAUUUGACCCUUCCAUCUAUUACACUACACAAACUCAUUUAUUUUAAACUGAAUGUAAUUGAUGUAACACAUCAUUUAAACUAAGUUUCAACAACGGAUCUCUUGGCUCUC
This 295-nucleotide unclassified non-coding RNA is filed under the name Basidiomycota sp. RNAcentral's name for it is "partial contains small subunit ribosomal RNA, internal transcribed spacer 1, and 5.8S ribosomal RNA". The stretch from base 1 to 47 matches the Rfam family "Eukaryotic small subunit ribosomal RNA", at positions 1785 to 1831 of the family's 1831-position model. Lineage: Eukaryota; Fungi; Basidiomycota. The record is from RNAcentral.